CAGCAUGGCGGAGGAGACCAACAGGGAUUGCCUCAGUAACGGCGAGUGAAGCGGCAACAGCUCAAAUUUGAAAUCUGGCCCUCGGGUCCGAGUUGUAAUUUGUAGAGGAUGCUUUUGGCGCGGUGCCUUCCGAGUUCCCUGGAACGGGACGCCUUAGAGGGUGAGAGCCCCGUACGGUUGGACACCAAGCCUCUGUAAAGCUCCUUCGACGAGUCGAGUAGUUUGGGAAUGCUGCUCUAAAUGGGAGGUAAAUUUCUUCUAAAGCUAAAUAUUGGCCAGAGACCGAUAGCGCACAAGUAGAGUGAUCGAAAGAUGAAAAGCACUUUGAAAAGAGGGUUAAAUAGCACGUGAAAUUGUUGAAAGGGAAGCGUUUGCGACCAGACCUUUUCCUGGCGGAUCAUCCGGUGUUCUCACCGGUGCACUUCGCCAGGUCGAGGCCAGCAUCGGUUUCCGCGGGGGGAUAAAAGCUCUGGGAACGUAGCUCCUCCGGGAGUGUUAUAGCCCUCUGCACAAUACCCCCGCGGGGACCGAGGACCGCGCUCUAAGCAAGGAUGCUGGCGUAAUGGUUGUCAACGACCCGUCUUGAAACACGGACCAAGGAGUCGAACAUUUGUGCGAGUGUUUGGGUGUCAAACCCUCACGCGUAAUGAAGGUGAACGUAGGUGAGAGCCCUUACGGGUGCAUCAUCGACCGAUCCUGAUGUCUUCGGAUGGAUUUGAGUAAGAGCAUAACUGUUCGGACCCGAAAGAUGGUGAACUAUGCGUGGAUAGGGUGAAGCCAGAGGAAACUCUGGUGGAGGCUCGCAGCGGUUCUGACGUGCAAAUCGAUCGUCAAAUCUGCGCAUGGGGGCGAAAGACUUAUCGAACCAUCUAGUAGCUGGUUACCGCCGAAGUUUCCCUCAGAUAGCAGUGUUGUUCUUCAGUUUUAUGAGGUAAAGCGAAUGAUUAGGGACUCGGGGGCGCUUUUUUGCCUUCAUCCA
This 979-nucleotide ribosomal RNA is filed under the name Rosellinia necatrix. RNAcentral's name for it is "partial large subunit ribosomal RNA". It matches the Rfam family "Eukaryotic large subunit ribosomal RNA", at positions 44 to 1054 of the family's 3401-position model. Lineage: Eukaryota; Fungi; Ascomycota; Sordariomycetes; Xylariales; Xylariaceae. The record is from RNAcentral.